AAAUUACCCAAUCCCGACACGGGGAGGUAGUGACAAGAAGUAACAAAGCAAGUGGCUACGCCAUUUUGCUAUUGGAAUGAGUAGAAUUUAAAUCUCUUUUCGACUAUCAAUUGGAGGGCAAGUCUGGUGCCAGCAGCCGCGGUAAUUCCAGCUCCAAUAGCGUAUAUUAAAGUUGUUGCGGUUAAAAAGCUCGUAGUUGGAUUUCUACCGAAGACAGCCGGUCCACACUACGUGUGCGCAUCUGGUGUGACUUCGGUAUCCUCAUGGAGAACAGUUCUGCACUUUAUUGUGUGGACUGGUAUUCAUGACUUUUACUUUGAGGAAAUUAGAGUGUUCACGGCAGGCAAUCGCCCUGAAUACAUUAGCAUGGAAUAAUAAUAUAGGACUUCGGCCCUAUUUUGUUGGUUUCUAGAGCUGAAGUAAUGAUUAAUAGGGACACUUGGGGGCAUUCGUAUUAUCACGUCAGAGGUGGAAUUCUUGGAUUGUGUUACGACGAACUACUGCGAAAGCAUUUGCCAAGGAUGUUUUCAUUGAUCAAGAACGAAAGAUAGGGGAUCGAAGACGCUUAGAUACCGUCGUAGUCUUAUCCAUAAACUAUGCCAACUAGGGAUUAGCUCGCGUUCUUCAUUCGACCGAGUUAGCACCUUAUGAGAAAUCAAAGUCUUUGGGUUCCGGGGGGAGUAUGGUCGCAAGGCUGGAACUUAAAGGAAUUGACGGAAGG
RNAcentral lists this ribosomal RNA (721 nucleotides) under uncultured marine Syndiniales. Its description in RNAcentral is "SSU rRNA". It matches the Rfam family "Eukaryotic small subunit ribosomal RNA", at positions 438 to 1163 of the family's 1831-position model. The record is from RNAcentral. Lineage: Eukaryota; Dinophyceae; Syndiniales.